Molecule: ribosomal RNA, 431 nt
Filed under: uncultured bacterium
Lineage: Bacteria
Description: partial 16S ribosomal RNA
Rfam family: Bacterial small subunit ribosomal RNA
Source: RNAcentral
GACGAACGCUGGCGGCAGGCUUAACACAUGCAAGUCGAACGCCCCGCCAGGGGAGUGGCAGACGGGUGAGUAACGCGUGGGAAUCUACCCAUCCCUACGGAAUAACGCAUGGAAACGUGUGCUAAUACCGUAUACGCCCUACGGGGGAAAGAUUUAUCGGGGAUGGAUGAGCCCGCGUUGGAUUAGCUAGUUGGUGGGGUAAAGGCCUACCAAGGCGACGAUCCAUAGCUGGUCUGAGAGGAUGAUCAGCCACAUUGGGACUGAGACACGGCCCAAACUCCUACGGGAGGCAGCAGUGGGGAAUAUUGGACAAUGGGCGCAAGCCUGAUCCAGCCAUGCCGCGUGAGUGAUGAAGGCCUUAGGGUUGUAAAGCUCUUUCACCGGAGAAGAUAAUGACGGUAGCCGGAGAAGAAGCCCCGGCUAACUUCGUG